This 1396-nucleotide ribosomal RNA is filed under the name Clostera anastomosis. RNAcentral's name for it is "16S ribosomal RNA". The record is from RNAcentral. Lineage: Eukaryota; Metazoa; Arthropoda; Insecta; Lepidoptera; Notodontidae.
GGGGUAAAAUUAAUAAAAUAAAAUAAUAAUAAAAAAAUUUUUAAAUAAAAUAUUUUAAUGGGGGUUAAAGUAUAUUAAAAAGAAAUAAUUAUUAAUUUUAUAGUGAAUUAAGUAUUGUGGAAGAAAUUUGAAAUAAUUUAAAAUAAAAAUUAAUUUAAAAGUAGAUUUUAUUUUUCGUAUCUUGGGUAUCAGAGUUUAUUAAUAAAAUUAUUUAAUAAAAUAAUUCUCGAAUUUAAAAGAGAUAAUUAAUUAAAAAAUUUAUUGUAGCAAAAAUAUUUUUAAUAAUUAAUUUGAAAUGAGAUGUUAAUCGUUUUUAAAUAUAUCUAGUUUUUAUAGAAAAAAAUUUAAUUUUAAAUUUAAAGAAUAAUUAAAUUUAUUCAUAAAUUUAAUUAUUCUUUAAAUUUUAUAUAUUAAGGGAUAAGCUUUAAUUUAAAUUUGUAUAAAUUAAAUAUAAUAAUUUAAAAUUUUUAUAAUUUAUAUUGUUAAUAAAAUUUAAUUUAUUAUAAAUAAUUUUAUUUUUAAUAAAAUUUAAUUUAAAUUUACUUUUUUAUAUAAGAAUAAUUUUUAAUAAUUAAAAAUUAAUUAUAAUGAUAAAAUUAGUAUAUAAUAUUAUUUAUUUUAGUAAAUAUAGUGAAUAAGAUUUAUUUAUAUUAAAAAUUAAGUUUAAGGAAUUCGGCAAAAAUUUAUGUUCACUUGUUUAUCAAAAACAUGUCUUUUUGUAAAUAAUUUAAAGUCUAAUCUGCCCACUGAUUUAUUAAAGGGCUGCAGUAUAUUGACUGUACAAAGGUAGCAUAAUCAUUAGUCAUUUAAUUGAUGACUUGUAUGAAGGAUUGGAUGAAAUAUAAACUGUCUUAAAUUUAUAAUUAGAAUUUAAUUUUUUAAUUAAAAAGUUAAAAUAAAUUAAAAAGACGAGAAGACCCUAUAGAGUUUCAUAAUUAUUUUAAUUAAGAUUAUUUAUAAAUUUAAAUUAUUUUAUAUAUUAAAAUUAAUUUAAUUAUUUUAUUGGGGUGAUAAAAAAAUAAAAUAAACUUUUUUUAAAGUUUUACAUAGAUAAGUGAUUAAAUGAUCCAUUAUUAAUGAUUAUAAGAAUAAAUUACCUUAGGGAUAACAGCGUAAUUUUUUUUUUUAGUACAUAUAAAAAAAAGAGUUUGCGACCUCGAUGUUGGAUUAAGAUAAAAUUUAAAUGUAGAAGUUUAAAAUUUUGAUCUGUUCGAUCAUUAAAAUCUUACAUGAUCUGAGUUCAAACCGGUGUGAGCCAGGUUGGUUUCUAUCUUUUUUAAAAUAAAAUAUUUUAGUACGAAAGGAAUAAAUAUUUAAAUUAAAUUUAAAUAUUUUGAAUUUUAAUAAAUUAAAAUAAGAGUAUGAAUUAUUUAAUUUAUAUGGUUGAUUUAAUAAA